RNAcentral lists this ribosomal RNA (253 nucleotides) under uncultured bacterium. RNAcentral describes it as "partial 16S ribosomal RNA". It matches the Rfam family "Bacterial small subunit ribosomal RNA", at positions 524 to 776 of the family's 1533-position model. The record is from RNAcentral.
UACGGAGGGGGCUAGCGUUAAUCGGAAUUACUGGGCGUAAAGCGCGCGUAGGCGGCUUUGCAAGUCGGGUGUGAAAUCCCCAGGCUUAACCUGGGAACUGCAUUCGAGACUGCAUUGCUAGAGUAUGGGAGAGGGAAGUGGAAUUUCCGGUGUAGCGGUGAAAUGCGUAGAUAUCGGAAGGAACAUCAGUGGCGAAAGCGACUUCCUGGACCAAUACUGACGCUCAUGUGCGAAAGCGUGGGGAGCAAACAGG